Pelobates cultripes (western spadefoot toad) is the source of this 217-nucleotide non-coding RNA. The record is from the annotation of a GenBank genome assembly. Lineage: Eukaryota; Metazoa; Chordata; Amphibia; Anura; Pelobatidae.
GGGCACUUAAUCUACAGUGAAUCACAUUUAAUAACACUCAAAUGCCCUAAAUCAGUUGUCAUUAUUCUUAUUUGGAAGAGACACAAUCUUUACAUAAGGGAAACUUGAUGACACAUUUGUUAGAUUUAAGUUGGCUCGAUGACCCAUAUAACAAAUUCUGUUAAGCAAAACACCUCUAUUAAACUCUUUUGAGCGCUGGAAUGAUCUCCAACACACG